AUGGAUUGGAACCCUCAAGUGUUGUGCUGGAACGUUAGGGGACUCAACAAUCCCGCCAAGAGAAACGCUGUCCGGGAGUUUGUAGUUGAAGCUAAGGUUAAUCUUGUAUGUCUCCAAGAGACAAAAAUUGAAGUUUUUGACCCGUAUUUGGUAAUGCAAUGCAUUGGACCAUCUUUUGAUGGGUUCUCUUACUUACCUGCGUUGGACACUAGGGGUGGCAUCCUCUUGGGGUGGAACAAUGCGUAUUUAGCAAUCAACAACAUCACUUGCGACACAAAUUUCUUCUCCGGUUUGGUUCAUAGCAAGGAUGGCUCAGAAUGGUGGUUGUCGGCGGUGUACGCCCCCCAAGGGGACGAGCUCAAGACUCAGUUUCUUGUUGAGCUACAAUACAGAAGGGAUGUGUCCCCGGGGCCAUGGAUGGUACUAGGUGACUUCAAUAUGAUCAUUCGCGUGAACGAGAAGAGAAAUUCUAACCUCAACAGGGGCAUGAUGAGGAAAUUUAAGGCGUUUGUGGAUAACAACGAGCUGAAGGAGUUAUACAUGCAUGGUAGGCAUUUCACUUGGUCCAAUGAAAGAGAACAGUUGGUGAUGACUAAGAUUGACCGGGUAAUUGUCUCAAUGGAUUGGAAGCUCAACUUUCCGGAUGUGCCGCUUCAAGCUCUCGCCUCUAAUAUCUCGGAUCACAUGCCACUUCAUCUGUCUACCUUUGCCCCAUUCUGUCCAAAGCACAAGUUUCGGUUUGAGAUCUGUUGGACUCGUUUGGAGGGUUUCGAUCAAGCUGUGAAAGACGCCUAG
RNAcentral lists this ribosomal RNA (795 nucleotides) under Triticum aestivum (bread wheat). RNAcentral describes it as "partial small subunit ribosomal RNA". Lineage: Eukaryota; Viridiplantae; Streptophyta; Magnoliopsida; Poales; Poaceae. The record is from RNAcentral.